GACGUAGGGCGCGAGCGUUGUCCGGAUUUAUUGGGCGUAAAGAGCUCGUAGGCGGUCUGUCGCGUCGGCUGUGAAAACCCGAGGCUCAACCUCGGGCCUGCAGUCGAUACGGGCAGACUAGAGUGUGGUAGGGGAGACUGGAAUUCCUGGUGUAGCGGUGAAAUGCGCAGAUAUCAGGAGGAACACCGGCGGCGAAGGCGGGUCUCUGGGCCAUAACUGACGCUGAGGAGCGAAAGCGUGGGGAGCGAACAGG
This 253-nucleotide ribosomal RNA is filed under the name uncultured bacterium. RNAcentral describes it as "partial 16S ribosomal RNA". It matches the Rfam family "Bacterial small subunit ribosomal RNA", at positions 524 to 776 of the family's 1533-position model. The record is from RNAcentral.